This 21-nucleotide unclassified non-coding RNA is filed under the name Mus musculus (house mouse). RNAcentral's name for it is "oocyte_clustered_small_RNA8490". The record is from RNAcentral. Lineage: Eukaryota; Metazoa; Chordata; Mammalia; Rodentia; Muridae.
CUUACCCGCCGAUUCUCUCUG